CAGUCGAGCGGCAGCACGGGUACUUGUACCUGGUGGCGAGCGGCGGACGGGUGAGUAAUGCCUAGGAAUCUGCCUAGUAGUGGGGGAUAACGUCCGGAAACGGGCGCUAAUACCGCAUACGUCCUACGGGAGAAAGUGGGGGAUCUUCGGACCUCACGCUAUUAGAUGAGCCUAGGUCGGAUUAGCUAGUUGGUGAGGUAAUGGCUCACCAAGGCGACGAUCCGUAACUGGUCUGAGAGGAUGAUCAGUCACACUGGAACUGAGACACGGUCCAGACUCCUACGGGAGGCAGCAGUGGGGAAUAUUGGACAAUGGGCGAAAGCCUGAUCCAGCCAUGCCGCGUGUGUGAAGAAGGUCUUCGGAUUGUAAAGCACUUUAAGUUGGGAGGAAGGGUACUUACCUAAUACGUGAGUAUUUUGACGUUACCGACAGAAUAAGCACCGGCUAACUCUGUGCCAGCAGCCGCGGUAAUACAGAGGGUGCAAGCGUUAAUCGGAAUUACUGGGCGUAAAGCGCGCGUAGGUGGUUUGUUAAGUUGGAUGUGAAAGCCCCGGGCUCAACCUGGGAACUGCAUCCAAAACUGGCAAGCUAGAGUAUGGUAGAGGGUGGUGGAAUUUCCUGUGUAGCGGUGAAAUGCGUAGAUAUAGGAAGGAACACCAGUGGCGAAGGCGACCACCUGGACU
RNAcentral lists this ribosomal RNA (683 nucleotides) under Pseudomonas sp. Its description in RNAcentral is "bacterial SSU rRNA". It matches the Rfam family "Bacterial small subunit ribosomal RNA", at positions 59 to 735 of the family's 1533-position model. Lineage: Bacteria; Pseudomonadati; Pseudomonadota; Gammaproteobacteria; Pseudomonadales; Pseudomonadaceae. The record is from RNAcentral.